CACAUUUUGGGCUCCCACUUUCAACUAUUGAGGAGCUACAAUGUUUGUAGGAGACAUUAAAUAAUCCAGAUGAGAAGAAGAAUUUGACUGUUUUUCCUGGAAUGGUCGGAGACAAGACUCUUAAAGACACCGUGGGGUGGGUCCUGAAAAAAACAAUGAACUCUUCGUGGCGAGACUCAUCAAUUGAAGUGGGGUCAACUGAAAGCCUGCAUUCAAAGGGCUCACUUUGAAAAGUGUGGUUUUGGAUGCAGUCCGCCGGAAUGCCCUGACCAAAGAUAACACAGAAAAGGAGAUAGAGCUCCUCAUCACCAGGUGGUCGGUGCUAGCAUAUGACAGGGAUGGUGGCCGAAUCCAGACAAUAGACAGACAAUGAAUUAAAAUGUUUUAAAUUUAAAAAUGUUGAUUUUUGGAAAAUUCGUAUUUGAACUGAUUGUGUGUGUGUGUGCACCUGGUAAUUAUCACGUUGUGUCCCCACAAAGAUAGGAAUACCUGUGUUUUUGUGACCUUGUGUCCCCAUGAGGAAACAAGCUUAUAAAUCAAACAAAAUGAUGUUUCUUGUAAAUGUGAAGUAGGAGAAGGGUUUCUGUGAUGGUUGGGUUUAGGGAAUGGGGUAGGUAAGGGGAAUAAAAUAUACAGUUUGUAUGGUAUAAAAUGCAUUACGUCUAUGGAAUGUCCCCACAAAACAUGGAAACCUGUUUGUGUGUACGAGAGAGAGAGAAUGUGUGUUCAAGUGAAUAAAAAAUGCAUUAAACGUGAAA
Molecule: non-coding RNA, 758 nt
Organism: Paramisgurnus dabryanus
Lineage: Eukaryota; Metazoa; Chordata; Actinopteri; Cypriniformes; Cobitidae
Source: RefSeq, a predicted model, not a curated record